UGGUGUGCGAGAAGCGCGAUGGACCCACCCCGUCCCAUCCCGAACCGGGUCGUGAAACGUCGCAGCGCCGAAGGUACUGGCGGGAUGCCCGCUGGGAGACAAGGUCCGUGCACCCA
RNAcentral lists this ribosomal RNA (116 nucleotides) under Chloroflexota bacterium. The record is from RNAcentral. Lineage: Bacteria; Bacillati; Chloroflexota.